This 464-nucleotide ribosomal RNA is filed under the name uncultured bacterium. RNAcentral's name for it is "partial 16S ribosomal RNA". It matches the Rfam family "Bacterial small subunit ribosomal RNA", at positions 339 to 795 of the family's 1533-position model. The record is from RNAcentral.
CUACGGGUGGCACCAGUGGGGAAUAUUGCACAAUGGGCGCAAGCCUGAUGCAGCCAUGCCGCGUGUAUGAAGAAGGCCUUCGGGUUGUAAAGUACUUUCAGCGGGGGGGAAGGGAGUAAAGUUAAUACCUUUGCUCAUUGACGUUACCCGCAGAAGAAGCACCGGCUAACUCCGUGCCAGCAGCCGCGGUAAUACGGAGGGUGCAAGCGUUAAUCGGAAUUACUGGGCGUAACGCGCACGCAGGCGGUUUGUUAAGUCAGAUGUGAAAUCCCCGGGCUCAACCUGGGAACUGCAUCUGAUACUGGCAAGCUUGAGUCUCGUAGAGGGGGGUAGAAUUCCAGGUGUAGCGGUGAAAUGCGUAGAGAUCUGUAGGAAUACCGGUGGCGAAGGCGGCCCCCUGGACGAAGACUGACGCUCAGGUGCGAAAGCGUGGGGAGCAAACAGGAUUAGAUACCCCUGUAGUC